RNAcentral lists this long non-coding RNA (1209 nucleotides) under Monodelphis domestica (gray short-tailed opossum). RNAcentral's name for it is "lncRNA (ENSMODG00000030017.2)". Lineage: Eukaryota; Metazoa; Chordata; Mammalia; Didelphimorphia; Didelphidae. The record is from RNAcentral.
GGGGGUGGGGGGGUUCAGGCUCGGCUAGCACAGCAGCCGGGCUGGGACAGAGCACCGGCACCGGCGGCAGCGGCGGCAGCGGCACUCCCCACCCUCCAGCAGCACCCACCCAGCCACUGAGCCACCGGCCCCGGGGUAAGCAACAGCUCACACACACAGCAGCGGCGGCGGCGGCGGCGGCGGCGGCGGCAGCAGCAGCAGCAUCUGUGACAGACAGUUCAGGCGCUUCGGGUUACUACCCUGAGCCAAUAAGGGAAAUUAGAGACAGAAAAGGAGAUUACAUAGAGAUCAGAUAUAGAAUGUAGACCUAUAGGUGUAUUAUAGACACAAUACACGGACACACAUGCAUUUGCCUAGACCUACAUAUGCGCAUACAGGAAUCUAAGGCUACACACUCAUCUCUACACUUGAAAAUCUCUAAACACAUACGUCCAUAACUGCUAUGUGUGUGUAGGUACCUGAAUGAAAGCAUGCAGGUGUUGGUUAAAAACAAAACAAAACAAAACAAAAAACCCUGGACACACACCAACUCAGGUUGAAAUUUCAGCCAAACUAUAAAAGACACCUCCCAUUAAAUCGCUUUAGUCACCUCUAUGUUCUCCAACGUUACACGACAAUAUACAAUUCUGAAAUCAGUUAUGGAAUCCGACAAUUAUUCACAAAAUGUGCCGAAAAUGUACUUUAGGGAGAUACUGUUGCUAUAUAUGGUAAGGUAAGGACUAACCUAAUGGCUGAGUUUCCGUUUUUUAAUGUUUUACGUGUAGCCAUCUGACCACUUUUUAUUGGGUGCCUUAUCAAAUGAGGACUUUAGUGUAGGGCUUGUAAAAACUAGAUCUAGAGGCAAAGCUGGCUUUACCAAAGGAAUUAAGGUCUAGGUGCUGAGAAAUGAGUGCUGGAGAGUAUGGAAUGGAAAGUGACACACUGCUGUACAUUGGAAAGAAAAAUAGUGUAUGUAUUCGGGAUAGCCUUGGGGCAGGGCGAACUCUUGCCCUAGACGCUCAUGCAGAUGACACUACAAUGAAGCAUAAAAUGAAUAGACAAACAGCACAAGCAAAGGUAAUUUUAAAAUUAAUAUCUAAGAAAACCCAAAUGACAGAACCUAAAAUGUACUGUUUUCUAUGUAGCAUGCCCAUAGUAUUUCAUGUAGCUCAUAUACACAGCGUAUGCAAUAUUCAAAAUUCAAGAAAACCCAAGUUUCCAUAUUUGUAG